Molecule: ribosomal RNA, 422 nt
Filed under: uncultured bacterium
Lineage: Bacteria
Description: partial 16S ribosomal RNA
Rfam family: Bacterial small subunit ribosomal RNA
Source: RNAcentral
AAUAUCGGCUAACUGGCGAAAGCCUGAUUCAGCUAUGCCGCGUGUGUGAAGAAGGUCUCCGUAUUGUAAAGAACUUUAAGUUGGGAGGAAGGGCAGUAAUUUACUACCUUUCUGUUUUCAUGUUAUCGACAGAAUAAGCACCGGUUAUCUUCGUGCCAGUAGCCGCGGUAAUCCGAAGGGUUCAAGAGUUAAUCGGAAUUACUGGGCGUAAAGCGCGCGUAGGUGGUUGGUUAAGUUGGAAGUGAAAGCCCCGGGCACAACCUGGGAACUGCUUUCAAAAAUGGCAAGCUAGAGUAGAGCAGAGGGUGGUGGAAUUUCCUGUGUAGCGGUGAAAUGCGUAGAUAUUGGAAGGAACACCAGUGGCGAAGGCAACCACCUGGGCUAAUACUGACACUGAGGUGCGAAAGCGUGGGGAGCAAACA